RNAcentral lists this signal recognition particle RNA (270 nucleotides) under Clostridia bacterium. Its description in RNAcentral is "signal recognition particle sRNA large type". It matches the Rfam family "Bacterial large signal recognition particle RNA". Rfam says of the family: The signal recognition particle (SRP) is a universally conserved ribonucleoprotein involved in the co-translational targeting of proteins to membranes. Archaeal SRP consists of a 7S RNA and homologues of the eukaryotic SRP19 and SRP54 proteins. Lineage: Bacteria; Bacillati; Bacillota; Clostridia. The record is from RNAcentral.
CCGUGCCAGACGGGGAGCCAGCGGUGCCUUGUAACUCGCAAUCCGCUACAGCGAGGUUUGAUCCCUUUGCUGAGGUCUGUGUCUGUGGCGUCUGGAACGUCGUCGGGGGGCGAUGAAGGUUGGGUCCUGUGCAACACUGCGCUGUGAACCGUGUCAGGUUCGGAAGAAAGCAGCACUAAGCAGAGGUAUGUGUGUGCCGCAGGGUUGCCUGGCCGGAGCUCAGCGCUUCGGAUUCCGGUCGUAGAUGCAGCAUCGAUCAAAGGUGCACGG